AAUGUACAUGGCGCCCCCUGGUAUUCCGGGGAGCAUGCCCGUUUCAGAAUCAUUGAAAGUCUCAUGCCAGCACACCCAGUGCCGUUGCAAAACGGCGCUGGCUGUGUUGGCGUGGACGCUGGACGUCUUUGCGUCGGCGACGACGGCAAUCGUCUGAAAAUCAUUGUGCGUGCUGGCGGCAACUUUGUCCCUUGCUUGGCCCCCUCAAAGUGCAACAGAGGUGAUCUAUUUCACGAUGAGGGCCGAGUGAGGAACCGCCGGUGCGGACCUCUCCGAAUGUCAAACGGCCGUGGGAGGUUCGUCCCCCCCAUGACCGCUGAACUUGGUCUGAAAUCGGGCAAGAAAACCCGCUGAACUUAA
Molecule: unclassified non-coding RNA, 360 nt
Filed under: uncultured fungus
Lineage: Eukaryota; Fungi
Description: partial contains 5.8S ribosomal RNA, internal transcribed spacer 2, and large subunit ribosomal RNA
Source: RNAcentral